This 479-nucleotide ribosomal RNA is filed under the name uncultured organism. RNAcentral describes it as "partial 16S ribosomal RNA". It matches the Rfam family "Bacterial small subunit ribosomal RNA", at positions 330 to 800 of the family's 1533-position model. The record is from RNAcentral.
CGUACACUCCUGCGGGAGGCAGCAGUGGGGAAUAUUGCACAAUGGGCGCAAGCCUGAUGCAGCCAUGCCGCGUGUAUGAAGAAGGCCUUCGGGUUGUAAAGUACUUUCAGCGGGGAGGAAGGCAAUACGGUUAAUAACCGUGUUGAUUGACGUUACCCGCAGAAGAAGCACCGGCUAACUCCGUGCCAGCAGCCGCGGUAAUACGGAGGGUGCAAGCGUUAAUCGGAAUUACUGGGCGUAAAGCGCACGCAGGCGGUCUGUCAAGUCGGAUGUGAAAUCCCCGGGCUCAACCUGGGAACUGCAUUCGAAACUGGCAGGCUUGAGUCUUGUAGAGGGGGGUAGAAUUCCAGGUGUAGCGGUGAAAUGCGUAGAGAUCUGGAGGAAUACCGGUGGCGAAGGCGGCCCCCUGGACAAAGACUGACGCUCAGGUGCGAAAGCGUGGGGAGCAAACAGGAUUAGAAACCCGAGUAGUCCCAUGA